GUCUAUGACCAUGCCACCCUGAACAAGCCCGAUGUCUGAGCUCGGAAACUAAGCAGAGUCGGGCCUGGUUAGUACUUGGAUGGGAGACCACUUAGGAAGACCAGGUGCUGUGGGCA
RNAcentral lists this ribosomal RNA (116 nucleotides) under Pteropus alecto (black flying fox). The record is from RNAcentral. Lineage: Eukaryota; Metazoa; Chordata; Mammalia; Chiroptera; Pteropodidae.